This 274-nucleotide ribosomal RNA is filed under the name uncultured bacterium. RNAcentral's name for it is "partial 16S ribosomal RNA". It matches the Rfam family "Bacterial small subunit ribosomal RNA", at positions 523 to 796 of the family's 1533-position model. The record is from RNAcentral.
AUACGGAGGGUGCAAGCGUUAUUCGGAAUCACUGGGCGUAAAGGACGCGUAGGCGGGUUGGCAAGUCAGAUGUGAAAUCCUACAGCCUAACUGUAGAACUGCAUUUGAAACUGCUAACCUAGAGUAUGGGAGGGGGAGAUGGAAUUAGUGGUGUAGGGGUAAAAUCCGUAGAUAUCACUAGGAAUACCGAAAGCGAAGGCGAUCUCCUGGAACAUAACUGACGCUCAGGCGUGAAAGCGUGGGGAGCAAACAGGAUUAGAAACCCUAGUAGUCC